Gavialis gangeticus (Gharial) is the source of this 73-nucleotide non-coding RNA. The record is from the annotation of a RefSeq genome assembly. Lineage: Eukaryota; Metazoa; Chordata; Crocodylia; Gavialidae.
ACUCUUGUAGCUAAACCCCAAAGCGCUGGCCUUGUAAGACAGAAAUGGAAGAAAUCACACCUCCCCAAGAGUG